CCAUACCUUGCCUUUGAGAAUACUAAAGUUAUUCUCUCUUAAGCAGUAAGACUCAAAUGCCCAAGAUAAACAAACUUCUUUUCAGUUCAUCAUCCUGACACUUAGAGACGUUUAAAACUGCUCCAAGAUGCAGAAGCAUUUUGUCCUUGGUUCCAACACUCACCUUACUAAUACAUACAUUAGAAAGAAUUAAGACUUUAAUUUAAAAACUUAGCAGUGUGCUGCAUACCUGUGUGUGCUUCUGUGGGUGAGGGAGAAAGACUGAUGGCAAAUGUCAUUAGCAGGGUUUUGAAGCCUUUUGGUGGGCUUAAUUGGACGGAUCCAUGUGAAGGUAAGAGGUUUGCCAAGAAGACCUUUAGCUGUCCUGCAUUUGAUUCCCUGCUAUUUUUAAUAUAAAUGUAGUAUUUUAAAUCCAUCUCUUGCGUCCUAAACCAGAUUUUGUCUUAAGCAGCUGUGCUUAAAUUGUAAAAUCUCACCCUUGUGUCUGGUUUCACAUCUGGCAACAUCCAGCUAACAGCAACAAUUCACUUGGAGUAAUCAAAAAAGGUUUUUAAAAAGCUACAAUAAUACAUAAAGAAUAAGUUAUCACAACAUUGUUUUGUUUUCCAACCAAAUUUUGCAGAACCAUUGUAAGUAGCUGAGCUGUCCAGUUAUUCCGAGAAGUGUUGACCAAAAUAAGUACAUGUUGAAGAAAGUAAAGGCAGGCUUGUAAAUAGGUGGGAACUGGGCAACAUUAAGCUGUCAUAAUUACUAGUGAGCCACAUGUCUCCACUUUGAUGUCAACUAUAUACUUUCUUUUCUGUCUAAGGGAGGAAGAAACUUCAAAAGGGUUGAUUUCAUGACAAUAAAGGGCCUUGCUAUUAUAUAUACAGACUUAAACAGCAAAUGGAAAAUUUCAGUAUUGAAGAUAUAAAUGUAGUUCAAAACGGAUUCCAUGGUCCACAAAAAUGAGGAAAAAAAAGCCAUUCAGGUUCUGUCUCACACACUGGACCCAGCACAUAACCAUUCCCCUGAUUGAAGGACACAGUGUCAGUGAACGAAGAGAAGGCAUAGAACCAGGACCUACGCACCUGAAAUCCAAAAAGGACCAAAACCAUAGAGCCUGUGACAACUUGAUCCAGCACCAAGAACGAUGUGUGAAGUAUAUUGAAGAUAAAACCCAUGAACAUAAAUAAUGCCUUUUUAAAAAGUAAUGUUAAUUUACAUCAUUUUAAUAAUAUUCCUUCUUUACAGUGCUUUUACCUUCCUAAAUUAAAAUAUUAGUACUUCAUAGUCCUUUUCGUUCCACAAUUACUG
Gallus gallus (chicken) is the source of this 1296-nucleotide long non-coding RNA. NCBI's taxonomy places the organism in Eukaryota, Metazoa, Chordata, Aves, Galliformes, Phasianidae. The record is from Ensembl.